This is a long non-coding RNA of Eptesicus fuscus (big brown bat), 1112 nucleotides long. RefSeq lists it as uncharacterized. Lineage: Eukaryota; Metazoa; Chordata; Mammalia; Chiroptera; Vespertilionidae. The transcript has 2 exons. The record is from RefSeq and is a predicted model, not a curated record.
GGAAUCGUCCCGCUGCGCGGUGCUCGGUGACGCGGCAGGGCUAUAAAAGCACAAAGGUUGUGGCCUGUCCGGCAGGAGACCAAGGGGUGUGAACUCGCCCGGGGAGGAGAUGAGGCCUGGUCUGGUGGAAAUUGAAGUUAGCUUCGCGGGGCUGACGGCUCAGGCCCAGGGUGGUAUGUAAUUGGGGCUCGGCCCGGGAGAGGGCCCGGCCAGGCCCCGGCUGGCAGAGCCCAGACCCUGGUCGGCAGUGAGGGUGGCGUAAGGAGUGAGUGACGGAGGAGGUAAGGUGCCACCCUCAGGUUACUGGUGCGGCGCCUCACGUGUCGGAAGCGGGGCUGCUGAGCAGGGGCAGGUGUGUGCGGACAACACUGACCCCCGCUUUAUCUUCCAGGUGGCAGUGCUCCCCUUUGGACUUUUCCUCUAGGUUCGGUGCUAGCCUCUCCUGUGAGCUCACUGCCCCUCCUCCUCCCUUUAACUCUCUCGAGGUUAUCCCUUCACUUAAGCCUUGCUUCUGGUAACCUGGUAAGCCCGGGAAGGCGCUCACGUCCCUGUUGGAGUCGGUAUUGCUGGUAACCUUGACGGAGAGGCUCGGGGUGGGGCGGGUUGGCGUUGCUGGCCGGUGAGAGGGUGGGAUUGAAUGGGCACCCUUUUCUGGGCCCGCAGCGAUGGUACCGGCUGAAAGUCACCAAAGGGCCUCAUGGACCGUGGUUUGUUACCAUAGUGUUCGUCACCGCGACCAGAUGGCACCAGCAGACAUGGAGCCCUGGCCAGUGUGAGGCGUAGCAGAGCAGCAGGGAGACCCUGGAGGAGAGAGCGCGCCUAAAUUGAUGGCUGCAGAUUGAAUUUCCAGAGUCUUGGGAGGAGGAAGUUCUCCAGUGGCGUGGUUCCAGGGCUCGCUCAGGAAGCCCUGUGUGCAGGAGCCCAUCCUUUAAGGUUUUCAGAUGAGCUUCUGAGGGGGGCAAUCUUAAAGUCCGAGUCAGAUGCAUCCGGGCCACCAGCAGAUGUGUUUAUUUGAAUGUUGAUCUUGGAGCACCAACCUCCGGGCACGUGAAUGCCAGCAGGCACCCCUCCUUUUUUGGGGGUGGAGGUUUUCAGAUGCUGCAUCUUCUAUA